Molecule: long non-coding RNA, 562 nt
Organism: Poecile atricapillus (Black-capped chickadee)
Lineage: Eukaryota; Metazoa; Chordata; Aves; Passeriformes; Paridae
Exons: 2
Source: RefSeq, a predicted model, not a curated record
GAGAUGGAGCAGGAUGGAGUGGCCUGGCUGAGCCAUGGCCCCGCCGGCAGGAGCUGCGGGGCGGACAGCAGAGCGAAGAGCGUGGCCGUGAAUGUGUCAUUCUCCUGACAGAGGAUCCUGGCAAAACCAUGGCUUGGUGCAGGGGACAGCACACCGGGGGUGAGGCAGCAGCAGACACCUGAAUGGAGACUCCUCGUGUUUGCAGCCUGGUCACAGGAGUGACUGAGACCUGAGAUCUCCCUGACAUCCUCUCUGGCCUCGUUUGUGCCACACCUGCUCCCUUCCGCUCAUGGAGACUCCUACACUGCACAGGACACUGGAAAAGCACUGGGAGAUGGCUGGAGGAAGAAGGGGGCUUCCUGGAAAACAGUCUCUAAACCAGGCCCUUCCCUGUGCCCUGGCUUUUCUGGGGCUCAUUAACAUCAGUGCUAUGUGCUCAUAUCUCAAUUCUCCAGGAUUAAUUAAAAAUCCACAGACAGUGCCAUGCCCAGGGGCUUCGCAAUUAUGUCAGCAGGCUUUGGCUGAGGCCCUUAUGUUUGUAAUAAACAUGACAUGCUUUUAA